RNAcentral lists this ribosomal RNA (450 nucleotides) under uncultured bacterium. RNAcentral's name for it is "partial 16S ribosomal RNA". It matches the Rfam family "Bacterial small subunit ribosomal RNA", at positions 338 to 795 of the family's 1533-position model. The record is from RNAcentral.
CCUACGGGGGGCAGCAGUGGGGAAUUUUGGACAAUGGGCGAAAGCCUGAUCCAGCAAUGCCGCGUGAGUGAAGAAGGCCUUCGGGUUGUAAAGCUCUUUUGUUUGGGAAGAAAUCCCUAAGGAUAAUACCCUUGGGGGAUGACGGUACCAAAAGAAUAAGCACCGGCUAACUACGUGCCAGCAGCCGCGGUAAUACGUAGGGGAAUUGCUGUAAUCGGAAUUACCGGACGUAAAGCUGUCGCACAGGUGUGAAAUCCCCGAGCUCAACUUGGGAACUGCACUUGUGACUGCAAGACUAGAGUGUGUCAGAGGGAGGUAGAAUUCCACGUGUAGCAGUGAAAUGCGUAGAUAUGUGGAGGAAUACCAGUGGCGAAGGCGGCCUCCUGGGAUAACACUGACGCUCAUGUACGAAAGCGUGGGGAGCAAACAGGAUUAGAUACCCGGGUAGUC